GGCGGCGUGCUUAACACAUGCAAGUCGAACGAUGAACCCGGAGCUUGCUCUGGGGGAUUAGUGGCGAACGGGUGAGUAACCCGUGAGUAACCUGCCCUGGACUCUGGGAUAAGCGUUGGAAACGACGUCUAAUACCGGAUAGGACCUUGGAUCGCAUGAUCUGGGGUGGAAAGUUUUUUCGGUCUGGGAUGGACUCGCGGCCUAUCAGCUUGUUGGUGAGGUAAUGGCUCACCAAGGCGUCGACGGGUAGCCGGCCUGAGAGGGUGACCGGCCACACUGGGACUGAGACACGGCCCAGACUCCUACGGGAGGCAGCAGUGGGGAAUAUUGCACAAUGGGCGAAAGCCUGAGGCAGCAAAGCCGCGUGCGGGAUGACGGCCUUCGGGUUGUAAACCGCUUUUAGUAGGGAAGAAGGGCUUCGGCUUGACGGUACCUGCAGAAAAAGGACCGGCUAACUACGUG
RNAcentral lists this ribosomal RNA (462 nucleotides) under uncultured bacterium. Its description in RNAcentral is "partial 16S ribosomal RNA". It matches the Rfam family "Bacterial small subunit ribosomal RNA", at positions 38 to 507 of the family's 1533-position model. The record is from RNAcentral.